This 393-nucleotide ribosomal RNA is filed under the name uncultured bacterium. Its description in RNAcentral is "partial 16S ribosomal RNA". It matches the Rfam family "Bacterial small subunit ribosomal RNA", at positions 523 to 918 of the family's 1533-position model. The record is from RNAcentral.
AUACGGAGGAUCCGAGCGUUAUCCGGAUUUAUUGGGUUUAAAGGGAGCGUAGGUGGAUUGUUAAGUCAGUUGUGAAAGUUUGCGGCUCAACCGUAAAAUUGCAGUUGAAACUGGCAGUCUUGAGUACAGUAGAGGUGGGCGGAAUUCGUGGUGUAGCGGUGAAAUGCUUAGAUAUCACGAAGAACACCGAUUGCGUAGGCAGCUGACCAGACCGCAAAUGACGCUCAUGCACGAAAGUGCGGGGAUCGAACAGGAUUAGAUACCCUGGUAGUCCGCACAGUAAACGAUGAAUACUUGUUUUCGGCGAUAUAAUGUCGGAGGCAAAGCGAAAGCGAUAAGUAUUCCACCUGGGGAGUACGCCGGCAACGGUGAAACUCAAAUGAAUUGACGGGG